This 855-nucleotide ribosomal RNA is filed under the name uncultured bacterium. RNAcentral describes it as "bacterial SSU rRNA". It matches the Rfam family "Bacterial small subunit ribosomal RNA", at positions 8 to 868 of the family's 1533-position model. The record is from RNAcentral.
AGAGUUUGAUCCUGGCUCAGGACGAACGCUGGCGGCGUGCCUAAUGCAUGCAAGUCGAGCGGGCUACGAUCUUCGGAUUGUAGCUUAGCGGCGAACGGGUGAGUAACACGUAGGUAAUCUACCCUUCAGAGGAGGACAACCUCAGGAAACUGAGGCUAAACCUUCAUACGUUCACUGGUAGGGAUACUGGCGAAGAAAGAGUUACCUUAGUGGUAGCUGCUGAAGGAUGAGCCUGCGGCCCAUCAGGUAGUUGGUGAGGUAACGGCUCACCAAGCCGAAGACGGGUAACCGGUCUGAGAGGAUGUCCGGUCACACUGGGACUGAGACACGGCCCAGACUCCUACGGGAGGCAGCAGCAGGGAAUCUUGGGCAAUGGGCGAAAGCCUGACCCAGCGACGCCGCGUGGAGGAAGAAGUCCUUCGGGGCGUAAACUCCUGGACUGGGGGACGAGUAAGGACGGUACCCCAGUAGAAAGGGACGGCUAACUACGUGCCAGCAGCCGCGGUAAAACGUAGGUCCCGAGCGUUGUUCGGAUUCACUGGGUGUAAAGGGCGCGUAGGUGGUUGUCUGUGUCUCAUGUGAAAACUCAGGGCUCAACUCUGAGAUUGCGUGGGAAACUAGGCAGCUAGAGGACGGUAGAGGGGAGUGGAAUUCCCGGUGUAGCGGUAAAAUGCGUAGAUAUCGGGAGGAACACCGGUGGCGAAGGCGGCUCUCUGGGCCGAUCCUGACGCUGAGGCGCGAAAGCUAGGGGAGCGAACCGGAUUAGAUACCCGGGUAGUCCUAGCCGUAAACGAUGGGUGCUAGGUGUUGGGGGGGUAAAGACCCUUCAGUGCCGAAGCCAACGCGAUAAGCAUC